This 344-nucleotide long non-coding RNA is filed under the name Hordeum vulgare. RNAcentral describes it as "long non-coding RNA (HVUL_LNC016318)". The record is from RNAcentral. Lineage: Eukaryota; Viridiplantae; Streptophyta; Magnoliopsida; Poales; Poaceae.
UAUUAUGAUAUAUUAUGAUACGAAGGAAGUAUGAUAUAUUCUGCAUAUUUUAUAUGAAUAUAAAGGAUGAAAUACGAGAAAAAGAUGCUCUUACAUCAUACUCCUAUUUAGCAUCCACGUUUUUUUCCCUCGGAGGGAGAGACGGAGUUCGCCAACACUUUCGUUGUCACUACACAAGCGCGACAGUUCCAUGGGGUUCCAGUAUUCCCUGCCAAGCACAAGAAUCCAUCCUAGAACUACACCCAUCAUCGGCCCCCCCUGCUUACGUGACCGCAACCAUCCACCCAUCCGUCCGACCGUCCAUCGACGCGACCGAUGCACCGGUAGGGAGGCCGGCCGGGGCG